ACUCCUACGGGAGGCAGCGGUAGGGAAUCUUCCACAAUGGGCGCAAGCCUAAUGGAGCAACACCGCGUGAGUGAAGAAGGGUUUCGGCUCGUAAAGCUCUGUUGUUAAAGAAGAACACGUAUGAGAGUAACUGUUCAUACGUUGACGGUAUUUAACCAGAAAGUCACGGCUAACUACGUGCCAGCAGCCGCGGUAAUACGUAGGUGGCAAGCGUUAUCCGGAUUUAUUGGGGCGUAAAGAGAGUGCAGGCGGUUUUCUAAGUCUGAUGUGAAAGCCUUCGGCUUAACCGGAGAAGUGCAUCGGAAACUGGAUAACUUGAGUGCAGAAGAGGGUAGUGGAACUCCAUGUGUAGCGGUGGAAUGCGUAGAUAUAUGGAAGAACACCAGUGGCGAAGGCGGCUACCUGGUCUGCAACUGACGCUGAGACUCGAAAGCAUGGGUAGCGAACAGGAUUAGAUACCCUGGUAGGAUAGCG
RNAcentral lists this ribosomal RNA (474 nucleotides) under uncultured bacterium. RNAcentral describes it as "bacterial SSU rRNA". It matches the Rfam family "Bacterial small subunit ribosomal RNA", at positions 335 to 801 of the family's 1533-position model. The record is from RNAcentral.